GACGAACGCUGGCGGCGUGCUUAACACAUGCGAGUCGAACGGAAAGGCCCUGCUUUUGUGGGGUGCUCGAGUGGCGAACGGGUGAGUAACACGUGAGUAACCUGCCCUUGACUUUGGGAUAACUUCAGGAAACUGGGGCUACUACCGGAUAGGAGCUCCUGCUGCAUGGUGGGGGUUGGAAAGUUUCGGCGGUUGGGGAUGGACUCGCGGCUUAUCAGCUUGUUGGUGGGGUAGUGGCUUACCAAGGCUUUGACGGGUAGCCGGCCUGAGAGGGUGACCGGCCACAUUGGGACUGAGAUACGGCCCAGACUCCUACGGGAGGCAGCAGUGGGGAAUAUUGCACAAUGGGCGGAAGCCUGAUGCAGCAACGCCGCGUGCGGGAUGACGGCCUUCGGGUUGUAAACCGCUUUCGCCUGUGACGAAGCGUGAGUGACGGUAAUGGGUAAAGAAGCACCGGCUAACUACGUG
RNAcentral lists this ribosomal RNA (468 nucleotides) under uncultured bacterium. Its description in RNAcentral is "partial 16S ribosomal RNA". It matches the Rfam family "Bacterial small subunit ribosomal RNA", at positions 28 to 507 of the family's 1533-position model. The record is from RNAcentral.